CUAACCAAAGCAUUUGCCAGUCCUAGUAUAGGUGAUAGAAAAGACACCAUUGGAGCGAUAGAGACUACGUACCGUAAGGGAAAGAUGAAAUAAUAAUGAAAUAACUAAGCUAAAAACAGCAAAGAUCAACCCUUGUACCUUUUGCAUCAUGGUCUAGCAAGAAAAACCAAGCAAAAUGAAUUUAAGUUUGCCCUCCCGAAACCCAAGCGAGCUACCUAUGAGCAGCUACUACUGAGCGAACCCGUCUCUGUUGCAAAAGAGUGGGAUGACUUGUAGGUAGGGGUGAAAAGCCAAUCGAGCUGGGUGAUAGCUGGUUGCCUGUGAAACGAAUCUAAGUUCACUCUUAGCUCUUCUCCAAGGAAACUAAGAACCCUAAUGAAGCGAGCUAAGGGAUAUUUAAAGGAGGUACAGCUCCUUUAAAAAAGAAUACAAUCUCCACGAGCGGAUAAAUAACCUAUGUACAAAAAUACUGUGGGCCCUCAAGCAGCCAUCAACAAAGAGUGCGUUAAAGCUCUGUGCAACAAAAAUAUCUACACCAUAUGAAUCCCUCAUCACUAACAGGCUAACCUAUAAUACAAUAGGAGAAUUAAUGCUAGAAUGAGUAACCAGGGUCCUCCCUCUUCGACGCAAGCUUACAUCUGUACAUUAUUAACAAGUACCAAAUAUACGA
RNAcentral lists this ribosomal RNA (670 nucleotides) under Acrocephalus scirpaceus. Its description in RNAcentral is "partial 16S ribosomal RNA". It matches the Rfam family "Bacterial large subunit ribosomal RNA", at positions 216 to 2035 of the family's 2925-position model. The record is from RNAcentral. Lineage: Eukaryota; Metazoa; Chordata; Aves; Passeriformes; Sylviidae.